Non-coding RNA from Pelodiscus sinensis (Chinese soft-shelled turtle), 2919 nucleotides. The record is from RefSeq and is a predicted model, not a curated record. NCBI's taxonomy places the organism in Eukaryota, Metazoa, Chordata, Testudines, Trionychidae.
CCUGAGCUUAGAACAUAAGAAUGGCCAUACUGGCUCAGACCAAUAUUAACUUAUAGAAUAAGAACAUAUAGGAUACAUUUCUUCCCAAGAUUUUGGAAAAGUUAUAAUUUUUAAAAUUAAACCACUGCAAAUACUCUCUUAGAAAGUGCCACCUCAAACAUAACAAUGUUAGCAUGACAGUAUAGUAACCUCUAGUAAGCCACAUAAUAAAAUAUUUAUAUCCUUGAUAUUUAUGCUAUUUGGCAAAUAUUGGGGUUUUUUUCUGCUGUGUUCUUCUAAUAGAUCGUGAAAUACAGCUUUUGUUUGCUGUGUUUACGCACAGAUACCUGCUGUUAGCAAUCUAUGAAGGUAGUUACACUUCAGUUAAGACACAGGGCUUGUCCCCAAAAUAUUGAUGAGUCUCAGAAACCCACUUUGAGGGCAUGUACAUGAGGGUUAUUGUACAUUUAUUUAAUGGACAACAUAGAGUGGUUAAUAACAGAAUCACUUGAAUGAGAGAAAAGGGAAAUUUACAGUCAAAUUACUUUCCUUAUCUUUCUGUCUGAACAAACAGGAGUAGGAUCUGUAAAAUUGCAGUUUCUCUUAUAAUCCCAAAAAUUCCUAUUUUUCUAAUAUUUCUUGCUAUUUUACUUAUUUAUUACACCUUCCUUUAAAUCUGAGAAAAUAUUCACACUUUUCAAAAAAAAUGAAGUGAACGUGUUUAAAAGAUUCACUAUACUUACGAUGACCAUACGUCCCUUUUUUCCAAGACAAUCUCGGAUUUAAGGGUUCUGUCCCGGUGUCCACAUAAAGGUGGCAAAUGUCCUGGAAAACCCAUUGGGAUCCAGCUACAAACAGCACCAUCAUUUCCCCCCCUCUCCAGGACACACUCGCAGACACCCAGCGCUAGCAGCAACACCCCACCUCCACCCAGCACGUAAAUUCUGCAGAAAACUAUUGAUAGUUCUCAAUCAGGUUUAUUUAAAGGAAGCAGCGAGAGAGGAGGGCUCGAUGCUGGAAGUGAAAGAAGAGACCAAAAACCUGUUUUGCCCAUGUUGAGUUUAAGAAGUUAACCACACAUUCAUGAAGAGAUGUAAGACAGGCCAAGAUACUAGACUGGAUAAUGAGGGAGACAAAUCAUAAAGCUAUAUAUCAACUGAAGAACAAUCAGCUUCAAAUGUUUACAGAUUAAAAGCUAUCUGAAGACAUGAAAACCUUUUAAAACAGAAGAGUUAAGAUUCUGAAGAACAGAAACUAGAAAAUAAACGCAUAAUAGUUUGCUUUUGGAAUAUGAAGAUAUGCUUACUCCUCAUCAAAACACAGCUAAUCAAAAGUUCUUUUACUACAAAGAGAAUGGAACAUCAACUAGCAAAAGGUAGAAAUCUGUAUUUCCAGAUACUAGGCUCACCGCAAAUUAUCAACUUAUAGUAUCGAGUAUGUUCAAAAUAACCAGAAAUGUUGACAGAUUAUUCAAAUGCAUGUCUGAAUAUUUAUUCUGAAAAUCACCAUCUUAACUCAGUCUCAUCAGAAUAAAAUCCUUAUGAUUCUAAUAAAUAGAUCUAACAUUACGUUUAGUACUAUAGCAUUGGAUGUAUGCCAGACAUCUGCUAUCAUUAGCAAAAUUAAAACUAAUUUUAUUGAAACUGAAGCAAUUUGGAGUACUCAGAAGACCUUAAGGAUUCUUCAAGUAGAUCUAAGCUGCUUAAUGAGAAACUCCUGACUUAACAUCUGAUUUGAAUUAUUCAAAAGUCAAAUAUUCUUAAAGCUUUGUCUACACAACUACUCUUAAUCAAGCAAGUAGCCUUGAGAUAUGACAGGAACUACCAAGGUCUAAUAUGGUUUAAGGAUGUUAAAAAUUGUUUAAUAGGGUAACCAUGUAACUGCUGAAAAUCUUGGAGGUUACACGCACUACAGGCUCUGCAGCAUAAACUUAAGCAAGCUUUAUACUGCAGAGCCCACACUGAAACCUCCCUUGCCCCCAAGACUCCUCUCUCCGGGAGAAGGCUUCACUGCCCUGCCGCAGCAAAGCGCCUCUUCAGGAGCCAGCUGAGUGUAACCAAUACUAUUAACAGAUAACCAUCAGUUUAUUGAUUAGACAGUUAAUUAGUUAUACUCUAACAUCCCUAAAAUGGUCUGACUGUAUUUUCUUAGAAAGACAGAGGCAACAGUACAAAACACACAAACAAAAAUGUUUAUAAUGUAUUAACACUCAUCUUCCAGAAAGUGUGUUUGGAAAAAGCCUAAAAAUAACUAAGCUCUUUACUUCCUGUUGAAACACAUUACCUACUCUCUGAAUAGCUUGUUCAGCAGCAUUUUUUUUUUAAGUUCAAAAUAAACAAAAUACCCUUUACUGUUAAUUUCUGCUCAUACUUAAAGACAAUGGGCACUGACAAACUAUCAUUCUUCAUAUGCACAGACAGGAUUGUCUUGUAUAUUUGCUUCCAGUGUUUGCCAAAAGGCAUCUGCCAUUGUACAAAUAAACUUUUUUUGUGUUCAAAAUCAUAUCUCAGUGGCAUUAUUUAGUGAAAGAUUAGGCUAUAAACUUUCAUUGGAAAAAAUAAUUACAUAUAAAAUGUCAAGAUUUACAUUUGACUGUUCAGACAGCAUUAAGUACCCUUUCAAAAAAAUAUUACUCUGCUCUGAAGGUGUGACAAAAACCACAAGGAAUCAGUGAAAAAGAAUGGAGUAUUAAAAUUCAGAACUGUUGAUCUCUGAGAAGCUAGAGGAAGAUGAUGAGAUUGUUUUAAACAUUAAUUAAUCUUCUGAAUCCCCAGUCAUGUUUUAACUAGUUGUCUCCUAUGAGCCCUAGAUUCUUUUCUGCAGUAAUUCUUUCACAUUUUGUAUCCUUGCAAUUGACUGGUCUCUCCCAAGCGUAGUACUUUGUAUUUGUCCUUACUGAAUUUCAUCCUGUUUAUUUCAGACCUUUUUUCAGUUUGUGCA